RNAcentral lists this ribosomal RNA (432 nucleotides) under uncultured bacterium. RNAcentral describes it as "partial 16S ribosomal RNA". It matches the Rfam family "Bacterial small subunit ribosomal RNA", at positions 29 to 506 of the family's 1533-position model. The record is from RNAcentral.
AACGAACGCUGGCGGCAUGCCUAACACAUGCGAGUCGAACGAGACCUUCGGGUCUAGUGUCGCACGGGUGCGUAACGCGUGGGAACCUGCCCUUAGGUUCGGAAUAACUCCCCGAAAGGGGUGCUAAUACCGGAUAAUGUCUUCGGACCAAAGAUUUAUCGCCUUUGGAUGGGCCCGCGUUGGAUUAGCUAGUUGGUAGGGUAAAAGCCUACCAAGGCGACGAUCCAUAGCUGGUCUGAGAGGAUGAUCAGCCACACUGGGACUGAGACACGGCCCAGACUCCUACGGGAGGCAGCAGUGGGGAAUAUUGGACAAUGGGCGAGAGCCUGAUCCAGCAAUGCCGCGUGAGUGAUGAAGGCCUUAGGGUUGUAAAGCUCUUUUACCCGGGAUGAUAAUGACAGUACCGGGAGAAUAAGCUCCGGCUAACUCCGU